This 679-nucleotide ribosomal RNA is filed under the name Mucor sp. KACC 46077. RNAcentral describes it as "eukaryotic LSU rRNA". It matches the Rfam family "Eukaryotic large subunit ribosomal RNA", at positions 62 to 648 of the family's 3401-position model. The record is from RNAcentral. Lineage: Eukaryota; Fungi; Mucoromycota; Mucoromycetes; Mucorales; Mucoraceae. RNAcentral also lists the same sequence under 1 other name.
AAAAUAACAAUGAUUUCCCUAGUAACGGCGAGUGAAGAGGAAAGAGCUCAAAGUUGGAAACUGUUUGGCUUAGCUAAACCGUAUUGUAAACUGUAGAAACAUUUUCCUGGCACACCAGAUUAAUAAGUCCUUUGGAACAAGGCAUCAUGGAGGGUGAGAAUCCCGUCUUUGAUCUGAGUAGUUGUCUUUUGUGAUAUGUUUUCAAAGAGUCAGGUUGUUUGGGAAUGCAGCCUAAAUUGGGUGGUAAAUCUCACCUAAAGCUAAAUAUUUGCGAGAGACCGAUAGCGAACAAGUACCGUGAGGGAAAGAUGAAAAGAACUUUGAAAAGAGAGUUAAACAGUAUGUGAAAUUGUUAAAAGGGAACCGUUUGGAGCCAGACUGGUUUGACUGUAAUCAACCUAGAAUUCGUUUUGGGUGCACUUGCAGUCUAUACCUGCCAACAACAGUUUGAUUUGGAGGACAAAAUUAAUAGGAAUGUAGCCUCUCGAGGUGUUAUAGACUAUUAUCAUACUCUGGAUUGGACUGAGGAACGCAGCGAAUGCCUUUAGGCAAGAUUGCUGGGUGCUUUCGCUAAUAAAUGUUAGAAUUUCUGCUUCGGGUGGUGCUAAUGUUUAAAGGAGGAACACAUCUAGUAUAUUUUUUAUUCGCUUAGGUUGUUGGCUUAAUGACUCUAAAUGAC